Molecule: long non-coding RNA, 1337 nt
Organism: Oncorhynchus keta (chum salmon)
Lineage: Eukaryota; Metazoa; Chordata; Actinopteri; Salmoniformes; Salmonidae
Exons: 3
Source: RefSeq, a predicted model, not a curated record
UUAACUUUGCCUUUGUUCAGAGCACAUAGCACAAAGCGUCACGGUUUGGUUUAUGGUCUUCAUUUGUCGGAGUCAUUUUGAAUAAAGAAAAAAAUGUAUGCUUACCAUGCUGCACCUUGGUCCAGUCCUUCAGCCAGCAGUUUUUGAUGUCCCAUUGGUCCUGACCAGGCAUCCAGCUUUAUUCUCUAUACUUCCUCUUGCAAAUAACGGGGAUAUCGGCCCUUAGGGUUGUUUGGAGAAUGUCUUGUGCGUCCUCCUUGUUGGAGAAAAAAUCUUUGUCUAAUCCAAGUAUGAAUACAACUGCUCUGCUCCCCUCAAUGCUCUGAAGAAGAAGGAUGUGUCUUGGGCUUUUGAAGACUUGAAAGAGGCCCUAACCAAAGCACCAAUGGUACUCUCCCAUGGCUUCUGCCUGCCCAAAGUACAAACAGAUGCCAGUGACAUCGGACCUGGUGCUGUUUUGACAAGAGAUUGAUGGCAAUGAGUGAGUUAUCGCCUAUGGAUCAAGACUGUUGAACUCUACCGAGAAUAAUUACUCUUGUCUCUGAGCGAGAGUGCCUAGCAGUCAUUUGGGCGGUGGAAAAGUGGCAGUCUUUUCAUGAAGGGAGGAAAUUCGAGGUCAUUACUGACUACUCAGCCCUGGCCUGGGUGUUCCACCAUCCAAAGCCCAGUUCAAGACUGAUAGAUGGAUGAUAAUACUACAUUUUGACUUCCAUGUCACCUACAGAAAAGGACAGUGCAACAUUGUUCCGGAUACUCUCUCCUGCACCCCGGUUUGGGAGGCAGAAGCAUGCUGGGACUGGAUAUCAUGGGCCCUUGACUAUUGUAGCAAAUGGGUUGAAUUGUUCCCCAUGCGAGAGGCGAAGACCUCGAAGAUAGCCUCCAUUCUCACUGAUGAAAUAUUCACCAGAUGGGGAACGCCAGCAUAUCUCGUCUCGGACAGAGGAGCACAGUUCACCUCCAUUCUUCUCAAACAGGUUUGCCAGCAAUGGGGUGUUGUCCAAAAGCUCACUACACUGUACCAUCCACAAACAAAUCUGUCAGAACGCAUCAAUCGCACAUUGAAGACCAUGAUCACAACCUUCGUGAAGGACAAGCACAACACUUGGGACAGCUGGUUGCCUGAGUUCCGCUUCUCCAUCAACACUGCCUGGCAGGAGUCAACAGGUUUCACACCUGCAGAAAUUGCUCUCGGGCCGAAGCUGAAAGGUCCGCAUGAAAGGCUCAUCAGCAAGUCACCUGAUCCUGACCAGAAUGCCUACUCACUGCUCGAGAGGCAACAGCUCAUGCUGAAAUAGGUUAAACGCAAUGUCUCUAAAUGUCUCCAUAAAUUGUGAAGC